RNAcentral lists this ribosomal RNA (307 nucleotides) under Sadocus polyacanthus. RNAcentral describes it as "partial 16S ribosomal RNA". The record is from RNAcentral. Lineage: Eukaryota; Metazoa; Arthropoda; Arachnida; Opiliones; Gonyleptidae.
GCAUAAUAAAUAGUUUAUUAAUUGUAUACUGGAAUGAAAGGUAUAUACUAAGAGGGAAGGUUUUAUUUAAUAAAUUUGAAUUUAAAUUAAAAGUAAAAAUGCUUUUAUUAAAUUUUGGGACGAGAAGACCCUAGAAGCUUAAUUUAUAAAAAAAUUUUAAUUGGGGCAAUUUCUGAAGAAAUAGAUUUUUUGAAUAUAUUAAUUAUUUUUAAUAUUUUAUUAAAAAGUUACUUUAGGGAUAACAGCGUUAUUUAAUUAGCAAGUUCUUAUUUAUAAUUAAGUUUGCGACCUCGAUGUUGAAUUAAAU